GCAGUCGAGCGAACUGAUUAGAAGCUUGCUUCUAUGACGUUAGCGGCGGACGGGUGAGUAACACGUGGGCAACCUGCCUGUAAGACUGGGAUAACUCCGGGAAACCGGAGCUAAUACCGGAUAACAUUUUCUCUUGCAUAAGAGAAAAUUGAAAGAUGGUUUCGGCUAUCACUUACAGAUGGGCCCGCGGUGCAUUAGCUAGUUGGUGAGGUAACGGCUCACCAAGGCAACGAUGCAUAGCCGACCUGAGAGGGUGAUCGGCCACACUGGGACUGAGACACGGCCCAGACUCCUACGGGAGGCAGCAGUAGGGAAUCUUCCGCAAUGGACGAAAGUCUGACGGAGCAACGCCGCGUGAGUGAUGAAGGCUUUCGGGUCGUAAAACUCUGUUGUUAGGGAAGAACAAGUACAAGAGUAACUGCUUGUACCUUGACGGUACCUAACCAGAAAGCCACGGCUAACUACGUGCCAGCAGCCGCGGUAAUACGUAGGUGGCAAGCGUUAUCCGGAAUUAUUGGGCGUAAAGCGCGCGCAGGCGGUUUCUUAAGUCUGAUGUGAAAGCCCACGGCUCAACCGUGGAGGGUCAUUGGAAACUGGGGAACUUGAGUGCAGAAGAGAAAAGCGGAAUUCCACGUGUAGCGGUGAAAUGCGUAGAGAUGUGGAGGAACACCAGUGGCGAAGGCGG
RNAcentral lists this ribosomal RNA (685 nucleotides) under Priestia flexa. RNAcentral describes it as "bacterial SSU rRNA". It matches the Rfam family "Bacterial small subunit ribosomal RNA", at positions 57 to 724 of the family's 1533-position model. The record is from RNAcentral. Lineage: Bacteria; Bacillati; Bacillota; Bacilli; Caryophanales; Bacillaceae.